GCUUGCUCUCAUUUUAUCCCCCAGAUAAACUUGUGGUGGGGCCUAUUUACAGCCCUGGUGCCAAAGUUUCAACCACAGUGAGAGACCUAAGGAUUUCAAGGAAAACUCAAAGCACCAAUAUUCAGUGAUAGAAGACUCAGAGGUUUGAUGCAGAGUUCACUCUCUGAAAAUGAACGUUCAGUAAAAGCAUGUCUGAUUUGGAGGCUUCAUAUAAACUGCCUGUGAAGUAGACGCCACUUUGCAGGAAUCCGGUCAGCUGUAACAUUCCUGAAGGAGGAGGAGGAUGGUUCAGAGAAUGCGGUUCUUCUUCGAAACAAAGAUCCACAUCAGAAUCAUGAGGCUGAAGGAGGUUAGAAGGAUACUUUUGCCUUCAGGGUGUCCCAUCUCAGCCACUGGGUACUAGUCUGGGCAGGCAGUGCUUUCGUUGACACCUUCAGGAUGAGCAGACAGGGAGAAACUUGUAGUCAUUUUUCUUGGCAGAAGCUACAACCCAGCCCAAGUUAAUUAUGUCUGAGAAGAAGAAUAAUGUCUGGGCACCUGCAAUUUUCAAUUUGGGACUUCAUGUGCCAGUGCCAGGUAUUCUAUCAAGCCAUUCACAUGUAUCUUCACAAAGUCCUUUUCUGGUUUCAUGUCAGAC
This 637-nucleotide long non-coding RNA is filed under the name Homo sapiens (human). Its description in RNAcentral is "HSALNT0087759". Lineage: Eukaryota; Metazoa; Chordata; Mammalia; Primates; Hominidae. The record is from RNAcentral.